CCCUGCCCUUUGUACACACCGCCCGUCGCUACUACCGAUUGAAUGGCUUAGUGAGGUCUCCGGAUUGGCUUCUGGGAGCCGGCAACGGCACCUAGUCGCUGAGAAGUUGAACGAACUUGGUCAUUUAG
RNAcentral lists this ribosomal RNA (128 nucleotides) under uncultured eukaryote. RNAcentral's name for it is "partial small subunit ribosomal RNA". It matches the Rfam family "Eukaryotic small subunit ribosomal RNA", at positions 1651 to 1776 of the family's 1831-position model. The record is from RNAcentral.